This 1355-nucleotide ribosomal RNA is filed under the name uncultured bacterium. RNAcentral describes it as "bacterial SSU rRNA". It matches the Rfam family "Bacterial small subunit ribosomal RNA", at positions 28 to 1381 of the family's 1533-position model. The record is from RNAcentral.
AUUGAACGCUGGCGGCAGGCUUAACACAUGCAAGUCGAACGAUGAAACUCUAGCUUGCUAGAGAAGAUUAGUGGCGGACGGGUGAGUAACAUUUAGGAAUCUGCCUAGUAGUGGGGGAUAGCUCGGGGAAACUCGAAUUAAUACCGCAUACGACCUACGGGUGAAAGGGGGCGCAAGCUCUUGCUAUUAGAUGAGCCUAAAUCAGAUUAGCUAGUUGGUGGGGUAAAGGCCCACCAAGGCGACGAUCUGUAACUGGUCUGAGAGGAUGAUCAGUCACACCGGAACUGAGACACGGUCCGGACUCCUACGGGAGGCAGCAGUGGGGAAUAUUGGACAAUGGGGGCAACCCUGAUCCAGCCAUGCCGCGUGUGUGAAGAAGGCCUUUUGGUUGUAAAGCACUUUAAGCAGGGAGGAGAGGCUAAUGGUUAAUACCCAUUAGAUUAGACGUUACCUGCAGAAUAAGCACCGGCUAACUCUGUGCCAGCAGCCGCGGUAAUACAGAGGGUGCGAGCGUUAAUCGGAAUUACUGGGCGUAAAGCGAGUGUAGGUGGCUCAUUAAGUCACAUGUGAAAUCCCCGGGCUUAACCUGGGAACUGCAUGUGAUACUGGUGGUGCUAGAAUAUGUGAGAGGGAAGUAGAAUUCCAGGUGUAGCGGUGAAAUGCGUAGAGAUCUGGAGGAAUACCGAUGGCGAAGGCAGCUUCCUGGCAUAAUAUUGACACUGAGAUUCGAAAGCGUGGGUAGCAAACAGGAUUAGAUACCCUGGUAGUCCACGCCGUAAACGAUGUCUACUAGCCGUUGGGGUCCUUGAGACUUUAGUGGCGCAGUUAACGCGAUAAGUAGACCGCCUGGGGAGUACGGCCGCAAGGUUAAAACUCAAAUGAAUUGACGGGGGCCCGCACAAGCGGUGGAGCAUGUGGUUUAAUUCGAUGCAACGCGAAGAACCUUACCUGGUCUUGACAUAGUGAGAAUCCUGCAGAGAUGCGGGAGUGCCUUCGGGAACUCACAUACAGGUGCUGCAUGGCUGUCGUCAGCUCGUGUCGUGAGAUGUUGGGUUAAGUCCCGCAACGAGCGCAACCCUUUUCCUUAUUUGCCAGCGGGUUAAGCCGGGAACUUUAAGGAUACUGCCAGUGACAAACUGGAGGAAGGCGGGGACGACGUCAAGUCAUCAUGGCCCUUACGACCAGGGCUACACACGUGCUACAAUGGUAGGUACAGAGGGUUGCUACACAGCGAUGUGAUGCUAAUCUCAAAAAGCCUAUCGUAGUCCGGAUUGGAGUCUGCAACUCGACUCCAUGAAGUCGGAAUCGCUAGUAAUCGCAGAUCAGAAUGCUGCGGUGAAUACGUUCCCGGGCCU